This is a non-coding RNA of Felis catus (domestic cat), 85 nucleotides long. The record is from Rfam. Lineage: Eukaryota; Metazoa; Chordata; Mammalia; Carnivora; Felidae.
GCCUGGGUGGCUCAGUCGGUUGAGCAUCCAACUUCGACUCAGGUCAUGAUCUCACAUCUCGUGGGUUAGAGCCCCGCGUCAGGCU